RNAcentral lists this long non-coding RNA (204 nucleotides) under Gossypium raimondii (Peruvian cotton). Its description in RNAcentral is "long non-coding RNA (GRAI_LNC001247)". Lineage: Eukaryota; Viridiplantae; Streptophyta; Magnoliopsida; Malvales; Malvaceae. The record is from RNAcentral.
UUGAAGUUAGCUUUGAAAAUUGUCCAUGAAGCAUGAAGUUUAGAUUGUGAUCUGUUUAUAUUGUGCUCUGGGUUAUUCCCCUUAUCAUUAUACUUAUUGGAUGUUAUUACAACAGUUUUAGUGCACUGUCACUGCUCAGACAGACUGUCGAGGGAGCCUUACAUUACAGCCUUACAUUAUUGCACUGUCCCCUGCAUCUUGUGG